Molecule: ribosomal RNA, 198 nt
Filed under: Mycosphaerellaceae sp.
Lineage: Eukaryota; Fungi; Ascomycota; Dothideomycetes; Mycosphaerellales; Mycosphaerellaceae
Description: partial large subunit ribosomal RNA
Source: RNAcentral
AAGCGCAUGCAACCAGACUUGUCGGUGGUGUUCCGCCGGUCUUCUGACCGGUCUACUCGCCGCCGACAGGCCAGCAUCGUUUGGGAUCGCCGGAUAAAGGCCCUGGAAAUGUAGCUCCUCGGAGUGUUAUAGUCCUAGGCACAAUACGGCGCAUCCCGAGCGAGGUCCGCGCUUCGGCUAGGAUGCUGGCGUAAUGGU